Molecule: ribosomal RNA, 120 nt
Filed under: Scophthalmus maximus (turbot)
Lineage: Eukaryota; Metazoa; Chordata; Actinopteri; Pleuronectiformes; Scophthalmidae
Source: RNAcentral
GCUUACGGCCACACCGCCUGGUUCACGCCUGAUCUCGUUUGAUCUCGGAAGCUAAGGUAGGUUUGGCCUGGUUAGUACUUGGAUGGGGAGACCGCCUGGGAAUACCAGGUGCUGUAAGCU